AUGUGAGGUGUGUUUUUAGGGAUGGAGGAAGAAGAAAUGAAAGGAGAGGAAUUAAGGAGGCUGAAGAGGACUGAGAUGAAAAUAGGAAGUUUCCUCCCACUACAGGCUGAGAGUUGGUUCUCAACAAAAAGAACUAAAGAAGAAGACACACAUGACUAUUCAUCCUAAGAGAGAACUGAUAAUGGAUCAACAAAACUAAUCUACCCAAGUCCAGUUUGUCUUCAGGGACUCACCAUAGCUGGUGUCCAACGUGGGGCCUGGAGCUCUCUGUACAACUUGCAAGCAGCUAAACAGGUAGGA
This is a non-coding RNA of Peromyscus maniculatus bairdii (prairie deer mouse), 300 nucleotides long. The record is from RefSeq and is a predicted model, not a curated record. NCBI's taxonomy places the organism in Eukaryota, Metazoa, Chordata, Mammalia, Rodentia, Cricetidae.